UAGCAACCAUGCUGUUGAACGUAAAUGGAU
RNAcentral lists this non-coding RNA (30 nucleotides) under Mus musculus (house mouse). The record is from RNAcentral. Lineage: Eukaryota; Metazoa; Chordata; Mammalia; Rodentia; Muridae.